Molecule: long non-coding RNA, 218 nt
Filed under: Mustela putorius furo (domestic ferret)
Lineage: Eukaryota; Metazoa; Chordata; Mammalia; Carnivora; Mustelidae
Description: lncRNA (ENSMPUG00000028120.1)
Source: RNAcentral
CCAAAAUAGGUGGCUUUGCUAUAUUGCUUACUUUGAGUUGAAAGCAGCAGAGGCAAGAAGAGCAAUCUGACAAUUAUUUUUCCUUCUAGAAGCAGGAGAUAACAUCCCUGUAUCAGAAUGUUGCUUUCCUGUAUCAGAAGAAAGAAACAGCAUCAUCAGAGAAGGUGACCAGCUUAUUCAACUUUGCCUGGGACCUUUUUAGUUUUAACACUGGAAGU